Myotis brandtii (Brandt's bat) is the source of this 74-nucleotide non-coding RNA. Lineage: Eukaryota; Metazoa; Chordata; Mammalia; Chiroptera; Vespertilionidae. The record is from Rfam.
AGUGGUUCUUGGGCGAUGCACCUGGAAUUGGGCUCCCUCCUCUCUGGUUCCAGGUGCAUCACCUGAGAACCACA